Molecule: non-coding RNA, 85 nt
Filed under: Pseudomonas baetica
Lineage: Bacteria; Pseudomonadati; Pseudomonadota; Gammaproteobacteria; Pseudomonadales; Pseudomonadaceae
Source: RNAcentral
CUCAAUGGUGACUGUGUGCGGGGCAUCUUCGGGUGCGCCGGGUAUCUUGGACCGGUCCGUCAACCUGCACACAGUUGCCACCUAU